Molecule: ribosomal RNA, 492 nt
Filed under: uncultured bacterium
Lineage: Bacteria
Description: partial 16S ribosomal RNA
Rfam family: Bacterial small subunit ribosomal RNA
Source: RNAcentral
AGUGAACGCUGGCGGUAGGCCUAACACAUGCAAGUCGAACGGCAGCACAGUAAGAGCUUGCUCUUACGGGUGGCGAGUGGCGGACGAGUGAGGAAUACAUCGGAAUCUACUUUUUCGUGGGGGAUAACGUAGGGAAACUUACGCUAAUACCGCAUACGACCUACGGGUGAAAGCAGGGGAUCUUCGGACCUUGCGCGAUUGAAUGAGCCGAUGUCGGAUUAGCUAGUUGGCGGGGUAAAGGCCCACCAAGGCGACGAUCCGUAGCUGGUCUGAGAGGAUGAUCAGCCACACUGGAACUGAGACACGGUCCAGACUCCUACGGGAGGCAGCAGUGGGGAAUACUGGACAAUGGGCGCAAGCCUGAUCCAGCCAUACCGCGUGGGUGAAGAAGGCCUUCGGGUUGUAAAGCCCUUUUGUUGGGAAAGAAAAGCAGCAGGUUAAUACCCCGCUGUUCUGACGGUACCCAAAGAAUAAGCACCGGCUAACUUCGUG